UAGGGAAUAUUGGACAAUGGGUGCGAGCCUGAUCCAGCCAUGCCGCGUGCAGGAAGACGGCCUUCUGGGUUGUAAACUGCUUUUGCCAGGGGAUAAAACGUCCAUGCGUGGAUAAUUGAAGGUACCUGGUGAAUAAGCCACGGCUAACUACGUGCCAGCAGCCGCGGUAAUACGUAGGUGGCAAGCGUUGUCCGGAUUUAUGGGUUUAAAGGGUGCGUAGGUGGUCUUGUAAGUCAGUGGUGAAAUACGGCAGCUUAACUGUCGAGGUGCCAUUGAUACUGCAAGACUUGAGUACAGACGAGGUAGGCGGAAUUGACGGUGUAGCGGUGAAAUGCUUAGAUAUCGUCAAGAACACCGAUAGCGAAGGCAGCUUACUAGACUGUAACUGACACUGAGGCACGAAAGUGUGGGGGAUCAAACAGGAUUAGGAUACCCUGGUAGUCACACUGUAAACGAUGAUUACUCGAUGUUGGCGAUAC
Molecule: ribosomal RNA, 479 nt
Filed under: uncultured Bacteroidota bacterium
Lineage: Bacteria; Pseudomonadati; Bacteroidota
Description: bacterial SSU rRNA
Rfam family: Bacterial small subunit ribosomal RNA
Source: RNAcentral